CUCUGCAGUGCUACCUUUGAAAGUUAACCUGGUGAUUAUCCGUAUCCGAGCCUUCUCCUACAGGUUGUGGCCAAGGGGGAAGCUGAAGUGAGAAGGAAGAUGCAUAAAAUAAGCUAAUACUUUGAAAAAUAUAUAUGUCCCAGAUCUGAAAGGGUGAGGACACCUACGACAGGGAGGCUCAGCUUGAAGCCUUCCUGGAGAUUGAUGGAAGCAAUCUUUUUUUAACAGAUGAGCCAGAAAGUGCAUUCAGUCCAGGAAGAGGAGCUCUGUCAUGUUGGUUAGUUUCUCCUUACCCCAGCAACACUCUGAAAAGGACAGAUACUCCAAAUGGGUCACUUCUUCCAUCAACCACAGGCUUAUUCCUCAGUGUGGAGAAGAGUAUUGUUCUCCAAGCAAGCCCAACCAGAGAAACUUGAAAAUAGCUGAAGUUGUAGGAGGCUGAAGUCACUGAAGUUGGCAUGGUACUUCGAGAUUCCCAGGAUGGAAGACAUGGCUGAAAUGCACAUUACUGUCUCAGGGACCAAGAGGAGAGAUCAGAUGAAAUAAUGAUAAGGAA
This 556-nucleotide long non-coding RNA is filed under the name Anas platyrhynchos platyrhynchos (common mallard). Its description in RNAcentral is "lncRNA (ENSAPLG00000019229.1)". Lineage: Eukaryota; Metazoa; Chordata; Aves; Anseriformes; Anatidae. The record is from RNAcentral.